GCCUCCUCUCUCUGACCAUAUUGUCUCCUGGGCAAGAAGGUUACACAGCAUCCCCUUCCACACUGUGAACUUCUUGCAGUGAGUCCGCUCAGGCGGGGCUCCUAGGGAAGCCAGAGGGCCCUAUACCCCAACUCCACAGUCAGAAAUGACUCUCAGCCAACAUAAAACAGAAGGAUUAUUAGUCGACAGGAACAAAGCAUAGAACAAAACUUGUUUGCGCAGAAAUCAGUGACUUUCACCCAAGUCCAUCUUGGGGAGUCCUGGGCCAGGCGGCCUGGGCUCUCUCCCCUGAGCGACAAUUUUUGGAGGGGUCUUUUCUGUCCCCUUUACCUCUCCAGCUAAGACUAUGGAACCUCCUGGGAAAGAUAAUGAAGAGCCUGAACUAACAUUUGUUCAUCGAAAGGACGAUAUCACAGGGUCACUUGAGGUUUCACUGCCCUGCUGAUGUUAAUGGGGAGAAAUGUGGGAAGGAAUGGUCCUAUCCGGAAGUCCGUCGGAAUGCUUCACUCACUGAAAAAGAGCAACAGAACUUUGAAGAAAAACUUGCAAAGUUUGCAGCUAAAUAUUACCAUGACUUCAAAGAGUGUCCCAACUGCAAAAGCUUUGUGGAACGCCGUGAUCUGAAAAACCUGAGGGUGGUCUGUAUCCUCUGCCAUUCGCUGAAGGGGGACGUCUUUGAGUUCUGCUGGCAGUGCCUGAAGCCCUGGAAAGGUGCUGGAGCACCCUCUGAGAGGUGUGAAAAUGAGGGAUGCAAGAACCAGUCCCUGGAAGUCUUAGCAAACUGCAAGCUGAAGGAUCUUCCACGAAGUGAAAUAAAAAACUGUCCCUCCGUCCGUGCUUGUCCCACCUGUGGGAGACUCAUUGAGCACAUAGAAAAGUGCGAAUAUAUUGUAUGUCCACAAUGUCAAGUUGAAUUUUGUUUCGCUUGCCUUGAAAUUGCUCGUAACUGCCGAGCCAGCAAAGGUGGUGCCUAUUUUAAAUACUGUGCAAAGCCACUAGCUCCAAAACAAACACAAAUUCCGGUAUGGGCUCAGAAAUAAGCAACAUUGUUCCAGCCACACAGGCCAGGGAGAUUGGGAAAAUGCCCCAGGGUCAGUACCCAGCUCCACGCAGUACUCCCGAAUGCUACGUUAUCCCUCCUGUCAAAUUAAGCUUGAUGGACAGAUAAGAGAUUGAUAGAGAGUCAGGACAAGCCCAUCCCCUCCAAUGACAUUUUUUCCAGGAAGGAUAGUGUGUGUUGGGGGGGGGAUAUUAUAGGUCUGCUACACCUGAUAUUUAAGCCAUAUGUGAAAAAAGAAAAACGCUUGUAAUCUAAAAUUUAUAUGCCAUUUUUGUAGCUUGUUUAUGAUACUGGAGAACCCAUGUAAUUAACAGAUACUUAGAUUUUGCUGGUUCAUAAAUUCAUAAUCAUAAUUAUAUUUCCCCUCUCUACAAGGUGGCUAAGACUGAACCAAACUUGAACAAAACCAAAUACAAAUGUUUUUGUUUUCAUAGGCUUAGGAUAAAGAGGCUCGAUCUUGGCUUUUAAAGUAUUUUGUCUAACUGAAUGAAAAACCACUCUUUCUGUGCAGUCCUCCAACCUUCCCCACAGGGACAGGGGCUUGUGAAACAUGUCCAGCUUUUCACACACAGUACUGCAAUCUAACACGCACAACCUGGGGAGUCCCUCUUGAACCCAGUAUUAAUCAAUCUUACUCUUUUCAUGGCUAAGAAAGUUCAGGUUUGCCAUUCAUUGGGAAUAGCGGGGGCUGGUUAAGACAAACCAAACAUACCAAAUUUCUAAAUAUAACCCAUUGUGAAGCUGUGAAUAAAUUGGUCUAUGUAAAAUGUGUUAUGCUGGCCUCACUGUGGAAGUAAAUUUAUGGGUCUUCUUUAUUCCAGUACAGCAAUAUUCUCUGUUCAGUGUUAGAAGAACGUGGUUCUUAGAUAUCCACUACUGUCACAUUAUAGUAGACUCUUCAUAGUUAAGACUGUAGUUAGCAUUUCCCUGCAAGACGGAUUUUGGUUUGCUUUGAAACGCCAAAAAAAAAAUUUCUUGCUCUCAGAGGUUUAGCAUUAAAGCUCAUUGACAAAUUAAUUGACUCCUGUUCUGAAAAUGUUGAAUAAAUUGAAUUAGAUCUUUGAGAUUUUAAAAUGACACUUCUAGGAAGUUUUGGUGAAAUGUAAUGUUUGUGCCCGUCUACUAGCAGAAUGCUAUCUGCUCACAGUAUGCUUGAAAUUGUGUGAGGCAAGAGGAUAUGACUAGAACUGGUCAGAUUUUUUUCUUCCUGUGCAAAAUUUCACCACCACAAAAAAAUUCAUUUUUUGUCAAUGUUUUCUGCUAAACAUUUCAUUUUGUGAAAAACUGAAAAAUUAAACUUUUGAGGUUUGGGCUGAGAAUUUUUUGGUUUUCAGUGAAUAAGUUUGUAAUUUUCCACAGAAAGCAGACACAUUCCAUGGAAAACUCGGGUUAGUUGAAAACCCAAUUUUCUGUCAAAAAACAGUUUUGACUGAGAUUUUUUGACCAUUCCUAGAUAACUCCAAGCCUGCUCACCAUUGCUUUUGGUCCAUGUACAGCACUUAGGAACACAGGAAAUACAAGCUAUCUACACGCAGAGAGAUUGGAUUUAGACAAUGAUUCAUGCCACACGGGGAUUCUAAGUGCAGGUCUAGUAAAAUAUUAACGGAACUCUCAUUAUUUGAAAAUUAGAAAUGAUUCGCUACCUCUGUAGUCUACAGUCAAAAGGACGAACAGGAUUUAUUCCCAUAGUCCUAGAGCUGGCAAAGUCUUUCAAGGACAAAAACAAAAGAGAGUGGGGUGAUGCUUUGCUUGUGCAGAGAGCACAAAUCAAUGACAAUCAAAUAUAGAGUCAAUUUUGAUGGAUAGUUUUCUAACAAUUUUAGAGCUUCUAGGGGCAUAUGGAUUGUAUUGUUUAUAGCCAAUAUUAAGUUGCCACUAACUCUUACACUGUAAUGCUCUGUACGCUCCAUCCAAUUUGUUUAGCUCCCCAUUCAGCAAAGGACUUAAGCUCAUGCUUCCUCUUAUUUACAAAUACUUUAAUUCUUCAUUUCUUUGCUUUUAAGACGUCAUAUAUCUUAUAUUGCUCAAAUAUAUAUCAGAUACAGUAUAAUAAAUGUGUGUUUCAGCACAACAUUGUUGUCACUUAGUAUCCUUAACUUUUUUAAAUCGGUUUUGUUUUAAGUAAUACAAUAGUGUCACAUAAUGAUUUUUCUCUCUCUUUUUCCGCCCACAAAUUGUGCCA
Caretta caretta (loggerhead turtle) is the source of this 3242-nucleotide long non-coding RNA. RefSeq lists it as uncharacterized. The record is from RefSeq and is a predicted model, not a curated record. Lineage: Eukaryota; Metazoa; Chordata; Testudines; Cheloniidae.